Molecule: microRNA precursor, 69 nt
Filed under: Cavia porcellus (domestic guinea pig)
Lineage: Eukaryota; Metazoa; Chordata; Mammalia; Rodentia; Caviidae
Description: microRNA cpo-mir-432 precursor
Gene: cpo-mir-432
Rfam family: mir-432 microRNA precursor family
Source: miRBase by way of RNAcentral
UCUUGGAGUAGGUCAUUGGGUGGAUCCUCUAUUUCCCUAUGCGGGCCACUGGAUGGCUCCUCCAUGUCU